RNAcentral lists this ribosomal RNA (253 nucleotides) under uncultured bacterium. RNAcentral describes it as "partial 16S ribosomal RNA". It matches the Rfam family "Bacterial small subunit ribosomal RNA", at positions 524 to 776 of the family's 1533-position model. The record is from RNAcentral.
UACGUAGGGUGCAAGCGUUAAUCGGAAUUACUGGGCGUAAAGCGUGCGCAGGCGGUGAUGUAAGACAGAUGUGAAAUCCCAGGGCUCAACCUUGGAACUGCAUUUGUGACUGCAUCGCUGGAGUGCGGCAGAGGGGGAUGGAAUUCCGCGUGUAGCAGUGAAAUGCGUAGAUAUGCGGAGGAACACCGAUGGCGAAGGCAAUCCCCUGGGCCUGCACUGACGCUCAUGCACGAAAGCGUGGGGAGCAAACAGG